This 466-nucleotide ribosomal RNA is filed under the name uncultured bacterium. RNAcentral's name for it is "partial 16S ribosomal RNA". It matches the Rfam family "Bacterial small subunit ribosomal RNA", at positions 30 to 507 of the family's 1533-position model. The record is from RNAcentral.
CGAACGCUGGCGGCGUGCUUAACACAUGCAAGUCGAACGAUGAUGCCAGCUUGCUGGUGGAUUAGUGGCGAACGGGUGAGUAACACGUGAGCAACCUGCCCCUGACUUCGGGAUAACCGCGGGAAACCGUGGCUAAUACCGGAUAUGACGCGCUAUCGCAUGGUGGUGUGUGGAAAGAUUUAUCGGUUGGGGAUGGGCUCGCGGCCUAUCAGCUUGUUGGUGGGGUGAUGGCCUACCAAGGCGACGACGGGUAGCCGGCCUGAGAGGGUGACCGGCCACACUGGGACUGAGACACGGCCCAGACUCCUACGGGAGGCAGCAGUGGGGAAUAUUGCACAAUGGGCGCAAGCCUGAUGCAGCGACGCCGCGUGAGGGAUGACGGCCUUCGGGUUGUAAACCUCUUUCAGUAGGGAAGAAGGCCUUCGGGUUGACGGUACCUGCAGAAGAAGCGCCGGCUAACUACGUG